UACGGAGGGGGCUAGCGUUGUUCGGAAUUACUGGGCGUAAAGCGCGCGUAGGCGGCUUUGUAAGUUAGAGGUGAAAGCCCGGAGCUCAACUCCGGAAUUGCCUUUAAGACUGCAUCGCUAGAAUCAUGGAGAGGUUAGUGGAAUUCCGAGUGUAGAGGUGAAAUUCGUAGACAUUCGGAAGAACACCAGUGGCGAAGGCGACUAACUGGACAUGUAUUGACGCUGAGGUGCGAAAGCGUGGGGAGCAAACAGG
RNAcentral lists this ribosomal RNA (253 nucleotides) under uncultured bacterium. RNAcentral's name for it is "partial 16S ribosomal RNA". It matches the Rfam family "Bacterial small subunit ribosomal RNA", at positions 524 to 776 of the family's 1533-position model. The record is from RNAcentral.